UACGGAGGGGGCAAGCGUUGUUCGGAGUUACUGGGCGUAAAGCGCGCGUAGGCGGUGCGGUAAGUCAGGGGUUAAAGGCUGCAGCUCAACUGCAGUAAGGCCUUUGAUACUAUCGUGCUAGAGUGUCAGAGAGGAUGGCGGAAUUCCCGGUGUAGGAGUGAAAUCCGUAGAUAUCAGGAGGAACACCGGUGGCGAAGGCGGCCACCUGGACAGGUAUCGACGCUGAGGCGCGAAAGUGUGGGGAGCAAACAGG
This 253-nucleotide ribosomal RNA is filed under the name uncultured microorganism. RNAcentral's name for it is "partial 16S ribosomal RNA". It matches the Rfam family "Bacterial small subunit ribosomal RNA", at positions 524 to 776 of the family's 1533-position model. The record is from RNAcentral.